RNAcentral lists this ribosomal RNA (498 nucleotides) under uncultured bacterium. RNAcentral describes it as "partial 16S ribosomal RNA". It matches the Rfam family "Bacterial small subunit ribosomal RNA", at positions 30 to 523 of the family's 1533-position model. The record is from RNAcentral.
AUUGAACGCUGGCGGAAUGCUUUACACAUGCAAGUCGAACGGUAGAGGGGGCAACCCUGGUGGCGAGUGGCGAACGGGUGAGUAAUACAUCGGAACGUGCCCAGUCGUGGGGGAUAACGUAGCGAAAGCUACGCUAAUACCGCAUACGAUCUAUGGAUGAAAGCGGGGGAUCGCAAGAACUCGCGCGAGUGGAGCGGCCGAUACCAGAUUAGGUAGUUGGUGGGGUAAAGGCCAGCCAAGCCAACGAUCUGUAGCUGGUCUGAGAGGACGACCAGCCACACUGGAACUGAGACACGCGCCAGACUCCUACGGGAGGCAGCAGUGGGGAAUUUUGGACAAUGGGCGAAAGCCUGAUCCAGCCAUUCCGCGUGCAGGAUGAAGGCCCUCGGGUUGUAAACUGCUUUUGUACAGAACGAAAAGGUUUCUACUAAUACUAGGAGCUCAUGACGGUACUGUAAGAAUAAGCACCGGCUAACUACGUGCCAGCCGCCGCAGUAA